UGCUUUUUUCGCCCAGGCGGAGCUCGACCGCAAGCUCAAGUCGUAAGCCGCUACGCGUACAUCGAUCAACAUCGCGACGUCUUUGGGGUCGAGCCGAUCUGCCGCGUGUUGCAGAUCGCCCCG
Molecule: regulatory RNA element, 123 nt
Organism: Acidihalobacter prosperus
Lineage: Bacteria; Pseudomonadati; Pseudomonadota; Gammaproteobacteria; Chromatiales; Ectothiorhodospiraceae
Rfam family: ALIL pseudoknot
Source: Rfam